UAAUCUGCGAUAAGCGUCGGUGAGGUGAUAUGAACCGUUAUAACCGGCGAUUUCCGAAUGGGGAAACCCAGUGUGUUUCGACACACUAUCAUUAACUGAAUCCAUAGGUUAAUGAGGCGAACCGGGGGAACUGAAACAUCUAAGUACCCCGAGGAAAAGAAAUCAACCGAGAUUCCCCCAGUAGCGGCGAGCGAACGGGGAGCAGCCCAGAGCCUGAAUCAGUGUGUGUGUUAGUGGAAGCGUCUGGAAAGGCGUGCGAUACAGGGUGACAGCCCC
This 276-nucleotide ribosomal RNA is filed under the name Escherichia coli. Its description in RNAcentral is "partial 23S ribosomal RNA". It matches the Rfam family "Bacterial large subunit ribosomal RNA", at positions 62 to 374 of the family's 2925-position model. The record is from RNAcentral. Lineage: Bacteria; Pseudomonadati; Pseudomonadota; Gammaproteobacteria; Enterobacterales; Enterobacteriaceae.